RNAcentral lists this transfer RNA (4689 nucleotides) under Onthophagus taurus. RNAcentral describes it as "uncharacterized LOC111429108". The record is from RNAcentral. Lineage: Eukaryota; Metazoa; Arthropoda; Insecta; Coleoptera; Scarabaeidae.
UCAAAAAUGCAAGUUGGUUAUAAAAAGUUUUUAUCAAUAUCAAGAAGAAAAGUUGCUAAAGACCACUAAAAGUGCUCGUAUUGGAACUUUGAAAACUUUUCCUACACCUCUACAAACUUUUCCGAUCAUUUCAAGCACCCCACAGAUGGCGCUUUUAACAAACGUCAAAAAUGCAAGUUGGUUAUAAAAAGUUUUUAUCAAUAUCGAGAAGAAAAGUUGCUAAAGACCACUAAAAGUGCUCGUAUUGGAACUUUGAAAACUUUUCCCACACCUCUACAAACUUUUCCGAUCAUUUCAAGCACCCCACAGAUGGCGCUUCUGACAAACGUCAAAGAUACAAAUUGGUUAUAAACAGUUUUUUAAUAAAAAUCGAGAAGAAAAGUUGCUAAAGACCACAAAAAGUGAUCGUAUUGGAACUUUGAAAACUUUUCCUACACCUCUACAAACUUUUCCGAUCAUUUCAAGUUGAAAUUGGGUUAAAAUGAAGUUGGCUUUUGGGGAAAUGGAAUCGUAUGUAUAUGGUUUCCGUGGUGUAGUGGUUAUCACAUCCGCCUAACACGCGGAAGGCCCCCGGUUCGAUCCCGGGCGGAAACAUUUAUUUUUUUUUUAAGAAAUUGAUGAAGUGAAAUUUUCAUGGUAGAAAAAAUUUUUUUUUAAUAAUUUAAAUUAUGUGGCCUUUCCACUCUUCAAUUUGUCUGUCCUUCGAUGUGCAGCUGUUUAAUAGCCCGUGUCCUGGCGCCAGGACUUCCACCUAUUAUUUUCACCCGCCACCAUAUGCCCUUAUACCAAGAGAGUCCCCUCUCUUUUGUAUUAUUUUUCGGUCCCUAACUAUAAUCUUAUGGGUCGCUGCUCAUAUUUUAAAAGUUGCUUUAUACCCCAUAAUGACAUACAAUUCCUCUCCGAUACUAUUUCCUGUUCCAAAACUUACCUGCAUCAUAACGAGCUAUCUAGCAAAUUGUUUGCGGAUUAGUAACAUUAUUCGGCGGGAAAUUUGAAAUCGGAGAAGCCUGUUACUUCCUCUGCGCUAACCUAAACCGCAAAACAGGUUGCCCCCCACGGUUACGAAGGGGGGUCGGGCUCGUGUCCCGCGACCGAGCGUCGAGAGUGCGCGCGGGGGGCCCUAGAACACGGGGCCCCCCUCGUCGCUCCCGUUCUCGUCGUCGUCGUUGCUCGCACGUACCUCCGGUUUUCUAUAAAUAAAUUUUCACUUAUAUAUUAGCAUCGGUAAUGCGUGAGUGCGCGUCGGUCGCGGUGGUGGGGGUACCGGCGCACCGGUUAGAACAAGACAAACGGUUGAUUUUUGGUCCCUUUCUAUCAAGACUAAUUCAUAAACUGACAAUGAAGUGUAGUCAUAGAAAAUUGCUAGAUCACUUAUGAUUUAUUAUUAUUAACAAACUAUUUUUAUUAUUUUAGCACCAUAUCAAAAAAAUAAUUCGAGUGAAAUUGGACAUUAUCAGAAUCAUAAAUGUCAAUUUUUGAUUUAUAUGGGAUAUUGAUUUCGUCAAGAUGGGUUGAGUUUAGCGUUGGUGUUCAAGAAAUGCAAUAACGAUAUUUUCAUAAAACAUAACCUACUUCUAAUUCCUACCAAGUCAAAGUCAAUACGAUGUGUUUAAUUGCAAGCAAUACUGAAGCACUACUGAAGAACGGAGGACCUAACCUUACCAAAGCGUUAACUGACCUCAUACAGAAAGUGUGGACAUGCUGAGAACGCAUGCUAAAAUUUGGAAACUGAGUAUUGCAAAAACUUUAGGAGAAUAUCUCUACAUAGUACAGCUUAUAGAACCUAGAAACAAGGACGUCCAACAACAGAGAGUAAAAUACGAUACUUUCAAGAUAAGUCAGGGUCUGAAACAAUGAGAUGGAUUAGCACCAGUGAUAUUCAACCUGGCGCUGGAACAUGAAGUAAGAAAAACGACAGUUGAUGUGAACUCAUUAACAUAAUCACAGAGCUGGAGGGAGCAACAAUAGAGGUGGACCUGAAGGUGCUCAUACAAUUGUACUGUUACAGAGAAGUAACAGAACGAGAAUGCAAAAUCUAACGUAAAUGACUUUGUAUAUCUUGGCAGCACUAUAUACAACAUCCGGGACGAAAUGAGAAAAAUACGCAGAAGAUAGGACGUACCAAUAAAACGUACUACGCCCUGUCCAACCUUUUCAAGUCUGGAAACGUUAAUAGAAAAACAAAGAUACAGCUUUAUAAGACAAAUAUAAGAGCAGCCCUAUGCUAUGGUAGUGAAGUUUGGAUGCUGUCACAAAAGGCCGAAUCAGACCUUGAUGCUUUCGAGAGAAAGAUUCUGCGUAGAAUCCACGGUCCGGUUAAAGAAGACGAACAAUGGAGAAUAUGAUACAACCAAUCUCGUUAAGGAAGCUAGUGUUUCAACGCAUAUAAAACUGCAAAGACUCAAAUGAGCGGGUCAUAUGGAAGCAAUGGACGUUUCAAGACUGUUGGACAAAAGAGUGCAACAGUCUCAAGGAACUUGAAGGCAGAAAAGAAGACCAGGUGAUCGCUGGUGGGAUAAAGUGGAAACAGAUGCACGAACCAUACUACAGGUGUAUAAUUGGACGGGCCUGGAGGAGGAAAAUAGAGGAGGCCAUGGGCCAAAUUGGACUGUAGUGCCAUUAAUUGGAUGGAAUAUUCUCUAUUCCAUCCAACUCGUCUAUGAGCGAGGAGGCCAUCGAUCUCUGCUUAUCAACCAGACAUCAAAUUACUGAUGCAAAUGUUCCCAUGUCCUUCCUGUAGUAUGAGUAGUUGCUCCAUCUUAUUGGAAACAUUGUCAAUCAAACACCAACUUUUUGAGGAUGUAAAGGACUCUCAACAAUAACAUGUGGAUUUUCUGUAGCCCAUAUUCGACAGUUUUAUGUAUUUACAUAAACGCUCAAAUGAAACCAUGCUUCGUCACUAAAAAAUGUGAGGUCUAACAUGUCAUCAUUAUUUAAAACUUUGUUAAACCAAUGACACUACUGUACAGGACGAGGAAAGUCAGGAAGCUGUAGCUGUUAAAUCACAGUCACCUUGUAUGGAUGCAUAUCCAAUAUUUUUUUCGCUGAUAAGCAUCGUAACUAUUUCUUCGGCCUUACUACUAUUCUUUCACGAACAUCUUCAACGAUAUCCUCUGUAAGAACUAGCUGUAGAUUUUUUUACUAACCUAAGACGUUUCUCUAAAUCUUUUAAUUAUACGGCGUAUAUGUUGAAUAAGGGAAUCAGAAAUAACGUUGACUUCAAGAAACGCCACUUAAAAUUGCUGAUGGAAACUUUGUUACGAAUAUUUCAAAAUUCCUCCUUUAUUUACCAACGAGAAGUAUGCGCUUAUUAUAAAAGAAAUAUAAAAUAUAACUCAAAAGCAAUUAAAACAAACCACGCUACUGAUUGUUAAAAAUACGAUGCAAUACGUCAAAAACACAAGCCGCUACCAACGUUGUUUGUCAAAUGUUACUAAAACAAAAGCGCGCCAAAUUCAAACACCUUACAAUCAUUAUUGAACGCUCUAUACCAGAUUGCAUUUUAUUCAGCCGAGGCAGUACAAUAUUGCGUCAAUUGUCUGCCUCGGCUUAACUAGAAAAGGAAAUGCCUGAUUAUAUUUGAUUCAGCCGAGGUUGCUUGCGGACGAGGCAGUACAAUAUUGUAUCCAUUAUAAUGCCUCGGCCGCAAGCGACCUCGGCUUCAUAUAAUUUAAUUACGACUUCGGCUAAAUUAGGGGAUCUAAUAUUUUUAAUUGCUGAAAUUGUAUGCGGUGUAUGUUGUUCUAAGUGUUUGUUGUAACUUAAGCCGAGGUCGCUUGCGGCCAAAGCAGUGUAAUUAAUACAAAUGCCUGGUUGUAAUUGAUUCAGUCAAUGUCUUUUGCAGCAGAGGAAGUGGAAUAUUGUGUCAUUUGUGGUGCCUCGGCCGCAAGUGAUCACGGCUUAACUAUAUAGAAAAGGAAAUGCCUGAUUAUAUUUCAUUCAGCCGAGGUUGCUUGCGGUCGAGGCAGUACAAUAUUAUAUCCAUUAUAACGACUCGGCCGCAAGCGACCUCGGCUUCAUGUAGAUUACAACUUCGGAUAAAUUAGGGAAUCCAAUAUUUUCUGUUUUAAGGUAAGCCGAAAUUGUAUACGGUCAAGACACUUGUUUUAGGUGUUUGUUGUAACUUGAGCCGAGGUCGCUUGCGGCGGAGGCAUUAUAAUUAAUACAAAUGCCUGGUUGUAACUGAUUCAGUCGAUGUCUUUUACAGCCGAGGAAGUGGAAUAUUGUGUCGUUUGUGCUGCCUCGGCCGCAAGCGACCUCGGCUUAACUUGAAGCGUAAAUGCAUGAUAUUUGAUUCAACCGAGGUCGCUUGCGGUCGAGGCAGUACAAUAUUGUAUCAAUUAUAAUGCCUCGGCCGCAAGCGACCUCGCCUUCAUGUACAGUGUGUCCGUAAAGUAACGGAUAUAGGUGAUAAAAUCAUUAUAAACGGUUUAUUAAAAAGCCCCUGCGUCCUUUACAGCCGAGGAAGUGGAAUAUUGUGCUGCCUCGGUCGUAAGCGACCUUGGCUUAACUUGAAGAGAAAACGCCUGAUUAUAUUUGAUACAACCGAGGUUGCUUGCGGUUGAAGUAGUACAAUACUGUAUCAAUUAUAAUGCCUCGGCCGCAAGCGACCUCGGCUUCAUAUAAAUUGUAUGCGGUCAAGGCACAUGUUUCAAUUGUUUGUUGUAACUUAAGCCGAGGUCGCUUGCG